RNAcentral lists this ribosomal RNA (277 nucleotides) under uncultured bacterium. Its description in RNAcentral is "partial 16S ribosomal RNA". It matches the Rfam family "Bacterial small subunit ribosomal RNA", at positions 60 to 339 of the family's 1533-position model. The record is from RNAcentral.
CGAGUCGAACGGUAACGCGGGGCAACCUGGCGACGAGUGGCGAACGGGUGAGUAAUAUAUCGGAACGUGCCCAGUAGUGGGGGAUAGCCCGGCGAAAGCCGGAUUAAUACCGCAUGAGACCUGAGGGUGAAAGCGGGGGAUCGCAAGACCUCGCGCUAUUGGAGCGGCCGAUAUCAGAUUAGCUAGUUGGUAGGGUAAAGGCCUACCAAGGCAACGAUCUGUAGUUGGUCUGAGAGGACGACCAGCCACACUGGGACUGAGACACGGCCCAGACUCC